RNAcentral lists this ribosomal RNA (465 nucleotides) under uncultured bacterium. RNAcentral describes it as "partial 16S ribosomal RNA". It matches the Rfam family "Bacterial small subunit ribosomal RNA", at positions 28 to 507 of the family's 1533-position model. The record is from RNAcentral.
GACGAACGCUGGCGGCGUGCUUAACACAUGCAAGUCGAACGGAAAGGCCCUUCUUGCAGCUUACUCGAGUGGCGAACGGGUGAGUAACACGUUGGUGUUUUGCCCUUCACUUCGGGUUAAGCCUGGUAAACUGGGUCUAUUACCCGUUAGUUGCCAUUUUUAGUGUUAUGGUUCUUAAGUUUUUUCGGUGUAGGAUGAGCUCGCGUCCUAUUAGCUUGUUGGUGGGGUAAUUGCCUACCAAGGCGGCGACGGGUAGCCGGCCUGAGGGGGUGGACGGACGAAAUGGGACUGAAAGAAGGCCAAGAGUGGUAAGGGAGGGAGAAGGGGGGAAAAAUGAAAAAUGGGAGGAAGCCUGAUGAAGGGAGGCCGCGUGGGGGAAGAGGGCCUUAGGGUUGUAAAAUGGUUAGGAAAGGGACGAAGCUUUGUGUGACGGUAACUAGAUAAGAAGCAACGGCUAAAUACGUG